Molecule: non-coding RNA, 83 nt
Organism: Canis lupus familiaris (dog)
Lineage: Eukaryota; Metazoa; Chordata; Mammalia; Carnivora; Canidae
Source: Rfam
ACCUGGUUGGCUCAGUGGUUGAGCAUCUGCCUUUGGCUCAGGUCAUGAUCCCAGGGUCCUGGAAUCAAGUCCCAGAUCAGGCU